GCGGCUUUCUGGCCCACAACUGACGCUGAGGCGCGAAAGCUGGGGGAGCAAACAGGAUUAGAUACCCUGGUAGUCCCAGCUGUAAACGAUGGAUACUAGGUGUGGGGGGAUCUACCCCCUCCGUGCCGCAGUUAACGCAAUAAGUAUCCCACCUGGGGAGUACGGCCGCAAGGCUGAAACUCAAAGGAAUUGACGGGGGCCCGCACAAGCGGUGGAGCAUGUGGUUUAAUUCGAUGCAACGCGAAGAACCUUACCGGGAUUUGACAUCUCCUGUUACCCUUUGAAAGAAGGGGUUCUCUUCGGAGACAGGAAGACAGGUGGUGCAUGGUUGUCGUCAGCUCGUGUCGUGAGAUGUUGGGUUAAGUCCCGCAACGAGCGCAACCCCUAUCUUUAGUUGCUAACACUUUGGGUGAGCACUCUAGAGAGACUGCCGGUGAUAAACCGGAGGAAGGUGGGGACGACGUCAAAUCAUCAUGCCCUUUAUGUCCCGGGCUACACACGUGCUACAAUGGCCUAUACAGAGGGAAGCGACCUGGCGACAGGUAGCGGAUCCCUUAAAAUAGGUCUCAGUUCGGAUUGCAGGCUGCAACUCGCCUGCAUGAAGCAGGAAUCGCUAGUAAUCGCAGGUCAGAAUACUGCGGUGAAUACGUUCCCGGGCCUUGUACACACCGCCCGUCACACCACGAAAGUCUGUCACGCCCGAAGCCGGUGGCCUAACCGCAAGGAGGGAGCCGUCGAAGGCAGGAUAGGUGAUUGGGGUGAAGUCGUAACAAGGUAACC
RNAcentral lists this ribosomal RNA (780 nucleotides) under uncultured Clostridia bacterium. RNAcentral describes it as "bacterial SSU rRNA". It matches the Rfam family "Bacterial small subunit ribosomal RNA", at positions 721 to 1501 of the family's 1533-position model. Lineage: Bacteria; Bacillati; Bacillota; Clostridia. The record is from RNAcentral.